RNA transcript from Talpa occidentalis (Iberian mole), 4846 nucleotides. It is a transcript of the gene named protein CutA homolog, with no coding region annotated. The transcript has 7 exons. The record is from RefSeq and is a predicted model, not a curated record. NCBI's taxonomy places the organism in Eukaryota, Metazoa, Chordata, Mammalia, Eulipotyphla, Talpidae.
CCCGCGUUUCCAGGCGGCUUGCGGGUCUCCCGCAGAGAGCGGAGGCUCUUCUGUUGCGGGCAGGCGGCUGGCGGAGGAUGAGGACCCGCCGAAGGUUCAGCGGCCUCGCCCGCCGUCUCCGGGCCCUCCGUCCAGGCUCUCGGCACGUCGAGAGCGGCGGCUGAGGUCACCCCGGGUGGAGCGCAAGCCUUGAGCAUCCUGCCCCGGCGAGGGUCGUGUCGCUGGGAAACAUGAUGAAAACCCUCUGGAAGCUGGAGGAAGGCGUGAAGAACACCGACGUGGGCUGCUUUUUUUGGAUCGAUGAGUCAGCCGUGCGCACCGUUGAGAAACAUGAGAAGACCGUCAAGGGCUCGCGGAGAGUGUUUGCCCAGUCUGUUCCAGGGUGCUGUGCCUUCCCCAUGACGUGAACACCGGGAAGAUGGAGACUGAGUUAACUUUGUGGAUGGAGGACCUGACCAUAAUGGACGGGCCGCCGGCGCAGAAGACCAUCUGCCACAAGCCCAGACGCAUCUGCAAAGCAACUGGUGGAAGCCAAUGGGAAGGGUAACCCAGCUAUUCCCGUGCAAACAAGGGAUACUUUGAGAAGUUCAGAAAUCGCUGCAGUCUGGAAAUGCAAGAUCCAUGGGCGGAAAAAACUGUUAACUGCCCAGUGGGCACCCAAGUAUUUCAGACAACUCCAGAAACUGAUCAGCGCUCAAGGCCAUAUGCCUCAACAGAUCUUCAAAGUUGAUGAGAUGAGCCUAUUUUGGAAUUGCAUGCAUGCCUUUGUUUACUUUUAGGGAAAAAGAAAAAAAUCCCUAAAGCUUAGAGGAAGCUAAGGACAGGAUUUCCCUUAUUUUUGGUGCCAACUGCCCCAGGUGACAAAAUGUAAAAACCAUGGCUACUUUCUAAAGAUCCCAACCCACUUGUUUUUCGGGAAAAAAAAUGGAAAACACCUUCCUGUUUUCUAGCAAUCAUGCCAAAGUAUCUUCAAGCUCUGCCCUCUUUUUGGAUUGGUUUACCCAUCAAGUUCAGAGUUAUUGAACUGAAAAUAUCUUAAAUUCAAAGCUAAUUUUGGACAAAGCUUUGCUUACCCUGAUGUUAAUAGGGUGUUUCUCCCUCUGGAAGGUGCUAUCAGCAGCCUGUGGGUCAUGUCUAACCACCUUGCGUUUCUUUGAAAGAAAUAUGGCACCAUUAUUAUGUUGCUGAUGUUUGGAUAGUAAUAACAGAGGCAAUGGAUAAUAUGAAGUUAAGUGCUCUUAAUAAAGCCUAGUGGAAACUGGAGGACCUUGUGAAUGAUUGUGUGUGUUUUCCUAAUGAAGCUGAAAAAUCAUAGAGUGCGAAAUGAUGGGCUUUACAUUUAUUGAUAUCCAUGAAAGUGAAGUUAACGGGCUACUCAAGUUUCAAGCUUUGGAAUUUGGAGAGAGUCAGGUAUCCUUUAGAUGAAGAGGGGUAUCCUCUAGAUGAAGAGGCCGAGAUCCCAUGAGCAGAGGUAAAGAUGAAUCAAAGGAAAACAAAUGCUGCUUUUACUCAGGACUUGAGACCUCACUGAUACUCUUAAUUGAUGUGGAGCCUUUCCUGAAUGAAGUUUGACUCUUAAAAAAUUUUUUGAUAAAAUGUAUACCUAAAAAAGAGGUGCAGAGGAACUUUCAAAAUAAAGCAAAGGAGUUGAAGAGAGAGGCGAAAGAUACAAACAAAGAGGAAGGCUGAAGGAGAUGAAUAGGGAAAUCUGAGUCAGAACCUGAGAGGAAGAGUAGAAGGUAGAAAGAAAGAGGACAAGAAGCCUCUAGAAGAAGAGCCUGGACCCUCAAACAGUAGCAUCUGAAGAAUCUACCAAAGUCAUAAAUGCAGAAUUGGACUUUUGGAAUCUAACCUUGGAAGUGAAUCUGAAGAGAGUAGAGAUACCAGAGUCAAAGGAAGAGGAAAAUCCAGAGGCAGUUUCUUCCGAAUAGCAUUCAUUUCUUGCCAUCCUUCAGUUGCCAUCACCACUAUCUUCAUUGAGACCAUCCUUAUAAUCACCUUAAAAUCACACAUUCACAUCAUUGAGUAAUUCAACAAACAUCAUUGAGAAUUAACUGUGGGGUCCUAUGCUACUGUGCUAAACCUGGGGAUAUCAUCUCAGGAAACUAUCUCAGCAUCUAAGAUUGUAAAGUCAGCUAUAAUCUCCAGGACACUCCAGGACAAAAAGAGGAAAAAGGCAGAAUGAAAUUUGACUAAGUGGAAAGAUACACAGAAUACUUUAAGAGAAUGCAAAAUAAGAAAAGAUCCUGACGGCUUCUUUCCUGACAUACCCCACACUCAGGACCCUUAGCCUGCAGCUCCAUUCAGCUGUCACGGGCAGCUACAUCUCUGGCACUUACUCCAUCGUCUUUGUCAACUGUCCCAAUGAGCAAAUUGCCAGAGAUAUUGCCAGGGCUGUCCUGGAUAAGAAGCUGGCUACCUCUGUGAAUAUCCUGCCUAAGGCAUCUUCCCUGUACUUUUGGAAUGGAGAGAUAGAAGAAGCCACUGAGAUCCUGUUGUUAAUAAAGACAAAGACUUCCAGGGUCCAUGUGCUGUCCAGCUACAUCAGGUUGGUACAUCCUUUUGAGAUCCCAGAGGUCUUCAGUCUUCCCAUGGACCAAGGAGACAUGCACUAUUUAAAGUGGCUGGAGGAGGGCAUGGGGGAGGACUGAGCACCCUGCUCGCUGCCUCUAGCCUCAUCAGUGUACUCCGGGGAAGGGGAUGCCUCUUCCUGCCACCUAGCUUCCCUGGAUUCCAUGUUUCUGUCAGUGCAGAGGAACUAAAUAACUGUGGAGGCUGAAGGUUGGAGGCUCCUGUGGCUGAAAGACCCCAGUGGGACUUACCCUGAGUGCUUCAUGCUUAAAGGUGCCCCCAGGGGAGGGAAGACAAGGAUGGUUGUAUAUAGGGACUCGGGAGGUAAGUGGCAGUGAGGGUAGGUUUGUCAUCUUCUCUACAGUCACUGGACCUUCCUCAGGGUCCAAUGGAUGCAACUACCCUCCUGCUUCUCAUGAGUGUGGGUCUGUGGCCUGUUCACCCGGGUUGGUAGGUUGAAUGCCGUCUUCUAGGGGACUGGCAAAUGCUUUAUGCAAAAGGAUGAAAUGCUAAUAGUUGAAUUUUGGGAACACACACACACAGGAUUAUUUCUUCUAAAGGUGGUGUAUAACUCCUGAGUCCUCAGGAAGCAGGACUGGGAAUGGCCUUUCAUGAAUGUGUGUAGGACAAGGGAAUAUACACAGCCUCAUGGACUCGGGAGUAAGUCUUGACCCCUAGCCUGAAUGUGACCCAUUAGAGGGUGCUGGUGCCUGGCUCAAUGGAGGCGCAGGUUUUGCACCUACCAUACUCACCUUUUCACUUGAGCCUUGAACCUAAGCCUUCUAUGGCAGGAAAUAACCCUGGGAAAUUGCUAGAUCAGUCUUUCACACUUGCUCACAGAACCCAAGUGCUGACAGGAGGUGCCUUGGGAUUGUGGGGGUCGGGGGCUCCCCACUCACACUGCAGCUGGUACUACUGUGCUGCUUUGAUUUUUAUGUUGUGAGCUUCAAGAUUGCAUUUGUUUUCGUUUUAUCAUUUUUCUUGAAAGCUUAUAAGCCAGUUGUCUAAGCUAGUCUCCUCUUUAUAGAUUAUUAUAGGAAACUCAAGGAUUUCAAUAACUAAGCUUUCUCUACAGUCCACAGGUACUUUCUAAUUUAUGGAAUUGGCAAAAUCCAACUUUUUCCUUGAACUUUCAUGUGGGAUGAAUUCCAAGGAGAUUUUUCUUUCUCGCUGUAGCCUUCAUUGGGUCAUUUUCGUGCCUGCCACACAUAUUAGAAACUCUUUCUUGGUGGCCUUGGCCUCAGUGACACAGCUGACUAUAGGAGGGGUGAGGAUGCCAGCUCUCCCUGCCAGGUCCCAUCCUAGAUUCUUAACAUUAUUUGCUUUCCAUGCCUCACCUCAUUGCUAUCUUCAUUUUGCAGAUGAAACCUAAGAUCAGAGAGCAUCAGAUGCUUAAAACAAGUGACAGAGUUAGGCUUUGAGCCCACGUCCGAUGCUCUCAGUGCCUCUUUUUCAAAGAGGUUGGAUAUAACCUUCAUUGGCCAAAGAGCCACCGAACCUGCUGUAGCUACCUGUAAAGGGAGAGUUAUUAGUUCUUAAAACUUCUAUGUAGUCAGUUGGUCUGGCAUUUAAAAAUACAUUGCACUGUUUAUCUUUCCCCACAGAUCAGGAGACUGGUAAUAGCAUCUUCAUUCUACAGACCAGGGAACAGAGAGGAGUUCAAUGAUUUUUAGGCUCUAUGUGCCUCCAGUACAUGAUUUGAACCCUCUCCCGCACCUCCUCCCAGAAUGCUGUGGAAGCUGGGGCCAGGGCCCAGAUUAGUGUUUGCAUGUAUGAACUCCUUCCCAGCAUUUCUCUUUCUGAAUCCAGCAUCCCCAGAAAAAAUCAGGUGAGAAGUGAGAAAAAGCAUUAUAAUUAUCUGUGAAUACUAAUGUUUAAAAGUACAGAGAUGUUACUGGUUUAGAGAAAUCCACCUUCAGCAAAUAGAAAAUAAGUACAAAGCACUGACGUGCAGAGUUAAGGUGAAGAGAACCAAGACAGGAGCAUGUAGAGAGACAGACUAGCACUAAAUCAGUCUCGCUUGGGAUCACUGCCUUGUCACAAGCGCGUGAGCAUGCUGUUGCCCUGCCUGCUGCAAACCGUGUUAUUCUUGGAAAUAAGUUUUUACACAUAGUUUUCUUUAUACAAAUCCUUUGAAUAGUGUUCAAAGAAAUAAGUUUGGGGAACAAAAUAAAUACUGAUUUGACAAUUUUGACCCGAUUCUGUGUACUGUUAACCUUGCUAGGAUAUCUGAAUAUUAUCCCAUGAUGAACAUUCCCUGAUGUUUCCUAAAAUU